GAGACAGCAGCAGCCGCGGUAAUACGGAGGGUGCAAGCGUUAAUCGGAAUUACUGGGCGUAAAGCGCACGCAGGCGGUCUGACAAGUCAGAUGUGAAAUCCCCGGGCUUAACCUGGGAACUGCAUUUGAAACUGUCAGGCUGGAGUCUUGUAGAGGGGGGUGGAAUUCCAGGUGUAGCGGUGAAAUGCGUAGAGAUCUGGAGGAAUACCGGUGGCGAAGGCGGCCCCCUGGACAAAGACUGACGCUCAGGUGCGAAAGCGUGGGGAGCAAACAGGAUUAGAUACCCCGGUAGUCCCUGUCUCUUAUAC
This 308-nucleotide ribosomal RNA is filed under the name uncultured bacterium. RNAcentral describes it as "partial 16S ribosomal RNA". It matches the Rfam family "Bacterial small subunit ribosomal RNA", at positions 505 to 807 of the family's 1533-position model. The record is from RNAcentral.